RNAcentral lists this transfer RNA (74 nucleotides) under Dehalobacterium formicoaceticum. RNAcentral's name for it is "tRNA-Gly". It matches the Rfam family "tRNA". From Rfam's summary of the family: Transfer RNA (tRNA) molecules are approximately 80 nucleotides in length. Their secondary structure includes four short double-helical elements and three loops (D, anti-codon, and T loops). RNAcentral also lists the same sequence under 2 other names. The record is from RNAcentral. Lineage: Bacteria; Bacillati; Bacillota; Clostridia; Eubacteriales; Peptococcaceae.
GCGGGUGUAGCUCAGUGGUAGAGCGCUGGCUUCCCAAGCCAGUUAUGUGGGUUCGAUUCCCAUCACCCGCUCCA